CCUUAGAGUUUGAUCCUGGCUCAGGAUGAACGCUGGCGGCGUGCUUAACACAUGCAAGUCGAACGGGAAACAUUUCAUUGAGGCUUCGGCGGAUUUGAUCUGUUUCUAGUGGCGGACGGGUGAGUAACGCGUGGGUAACCUGCCUUAUACUGGGGGAUAACAGCCAGAAAUGACUGCUAAUACCGCAUAAGCGCACAGAACCGCAUGGUUCCGUGUGAAAAACUCCGGUGGUAUAAGAUGGACCCGCGUUGGAUUAGCUAGUUGGCAGGGCAGCGGCCUACCAAGGCGACGAUCCAUAGCCGGCCUGAGAGGGUGAACGGCCACAUUGGGACUGAGACACGGCCCAGACUCCUACGGGAGGCAGCAGUGGGGAAUCUUGCGCAAUGGGGGGAACCCUGACGCAGCGACGCCGCGUGCGGGACGGAGGCCUUCGGGUCGUAAACCGCUUUCAGCAGGGAAGAGUCAAGACUGUACCUGCAGAAGAAGCCCCGGCUAACUACGUGCCAGCAGCCGCGGUAAUACGUAGGGGGCGAGCGUUAUCCGGAUUCAUUGGGCGUAAAGCGCGCGUAGGCGGCCCGGCAGGCCGGGGGUCGAAGCGGGGGGCUCAACCCCCCGAAGCCCCCGGAACCUCCGCGGCUUGGGUCCGGUAGGGGAGGGUGGAACACCCGGUGUAGCGGUGGAAUGCGCAGAUAUCGGGUGGAACACCGGUGGCGAAGGCGGCCCUCUGGGCCGAGACCGACGCUGAGGCGCGAAAGCUGGGGGAGCGAACAGGAUUAGAUACCCUGGUAGUCCCAGCCGUAAACGAUGGACGCUAGGUGUGGGGGGACGAUCCCCCCGUGCCGCAGCCAACGCAUUAAGCGUCCCGCCUGGGGAGUACGGCCGCAAGGCUAAAACUCAAAGGAAUUGACGGGGGCCCGCACAAGCAGCGGAGCAUGUGGCUUAAUUCGAAGCAACGCGAAGAACCUUACCAGGGCUUGACAUAUGGGUGAGGCGGGGGAGACCCCGUGGCCGAGAGGAGCCCAUACAGGUGGUGCAUGGCUGUCGUCAGCUCGUGUCGUGAGAUGUUGGGUUAAGUCCCGCAACGAGCGCAACCCCCGCCGCGUGUUGCCAUCGGGUGAUGCCGGGAACCCACGCGGGACCGCCGCCGUCAAGGCGGAGGAGGGCGGGGACGACGUCAAGUCAUCAUGCCCCUUAUGCCCUGGGCUGCACACGUGCUACAAUGGCCGGUACAGAGGGAUGCCACCCCGCGAGGGGGAGCGGAUCCCGGAAAGCCGGCCCCAGUUCGGAUUGGGGGCUGCAACCCGCCCCCAUGAAGUCGGAGUUGCUAGUAAUCGCGGAUCAGCAUGCCGCGGUGAAUGCGCUCCCGGGCCUUGCACACACCGCCCGUC
Molecule: ribosomal RNA, 1388 nt
Filed under: uncultured bacterium
Lineage: Bacteria
Description: bacterial SSU rRNA
Rfam family: Bacterial small subunit ribosomal RNA
Source: RNAcentral